UUCCAUGAAUUUACACUCCAUCAUCAUCUCUUCCACUUUAUUGUGCCCUAAAACCCACUGUCGAUGCCUGCGACUUCUUUCAUGAUCGCCAUUGCCGUCGCCAUGUUCAAGGACCUCUCUACAAAAUUGCCGAAUGGGCGAAAGAUUAAGGAGAUACAACCGUUGGUUUUUCUGCUACGAGCAAAAAAGCGGGAAAACGGAGAAGAAGAACGAAGAGGAGAGACGGGGAUAGAGGCGGUUUCAGUCAGAACUAUGGCGCAGGAGACUCUGGGGGACUUUGGAACCCUAGCCACUGUUGCCUAUGUUUUCUUGGGCUACACUUCUAUGGUGGCCUAUGUUUCCAAGUCGGGUGAGAUCCUUCUCUAAUCGUUCAAUCUUCCAUCUCCACUUACAGGCUUCCUUUUCUCUUUGGUUUUUUCUCUGCUAGCCAUAGAUCAAAUCAACCAAUGGCUUACUGCUUGCAUGAAAGAUCGAGCCUGAGCGGAACUUGCUGCGAGCUGCUUGGUUUGGAAACAAUCUUGAGAUACACAUUAUGACAUGUAUGCAGUAUCCGUCUCAUAAAUUGCGAACCCAAGGACCGAAAUUUGCAGGGCGUUGUCAUGGGGAAGGCCAUAGAAUGCCUCAGGCCAAGGAUCAGAAAAAAAGGAGAAAGAAGAGCUGAGAAAAGACAAGAUAGUGGAGAUGGGUGCCAUUUUUCCUCCAAAGUGCUGCAAGUUAAUGCAGUUGUUUCACUUAUUCUUUAUGCUUUUCUGGAGUGGGCGAGUUUAUCUAGAGCUGAAGGAGAUUGAAGCUCACUGAAAUAUCUAGUUAUAAACCUUAACGAUGAGUUACUUUCACUAAACCUCUGGAUUCUAUGCCCUGACCCAGAAAGCAGGAGGAAUAAUAUUUUGUGUUUGGAAGGAGUUUGAUAUAAUGCAAUUAUGCAGGCGAGUCUUAGAAUUCCAAACUCAAGUGAAGCAUAGUCGUGGUUGCUUGUACUUGAAUAUUUUGGGAUUAUUGUGGAGAAAAGAAAAAGAAGAAUCACAACAAACAAGAAAGGAAAAAAGAAGACUGGGAAUGGGACCAGUCAUGUCAUAGAUAUUUGGACUCCUGUAGUUCGUUGUUGAGUGAAAGGCUAAAUAAAGAAUCAAAUGUCGGAAGCUGGUUGUGGAAUGAUGAGCCAGUUGAAGGGAAUCUGAGGACACCAACUCCUAGGCAUCAUUGAAGAGAGCGGCCUGCACUUCUUGGGGGGAGGUUUAUUUGCUUGUGGUGUAAUGGUGGAGCAACUUCUAUCCU
Non-coding RNA from Cucurbita pepo subsp. pepo (vegetable marrow), 1275 nucleotides. NCBI's taxonomy places the organism in Eukaryota, Viridiplantae, Streptophyta, Magnoliopsida, Cucurbitales, Cucurbitaceae. The record is from RefSeq and is a predicted model, not a curated record.